GCACGCAUAGCUCAGCCGGUUAGAGCACUGCAUUCACAUUGCAGAGGUCAACAGUUCAAAUCUGUUUGCGUGCACCA
RNAcentral lists this transfer RNA (77 nucleotides) under bacterium. RNAcentral's name for it is "tRNA-Val". It matches the Rfam family "tRNA". From Rfam's summary of the family: Transfer RNA (tRNA) molecules are approximately 80 nucleotides in length. Their secondary structure includes four short double-helical elements and three loops (D, anti-codon, and T loops). The record is from RNAcentral.